Physcomitrium patens is the source of this 4584-nucleotide non-coding RNA. Lineage: Eukaryota; Viridiplantae; Streptophyta; Bryopsida; Funariales; Funariaceae. The record is from RefSeq and is a predicted model, not a curated record.
UAAUCGCGCAGAAGAGCCUUCCUUCAGCAGGAUUUGGAGGUUCCGCUUGUGGGACGAGGGUUUGACGAAGGAAGGAGGAGGUCUUGGUCAAUUUUGCUAGGAGUAGGACGUGAAGCUGGUGUAUGAUUUGUGCAUGUGUUGUCAAUUUUGGUAGAGAAUGGAUUGACCGCGCUUUCGGUGGCCAGACCCCGGCGUAUUGGUGGAUGGGGCGCUUGGCUAGAGGUCAGGAAUUGUGAUCGCUUGCGGAGCAGGGGGUAAAUUAGGGUAGAGAGAAGUGAGGAUUGAGUGAUGGAGCAACAGGGUGGGAGCGGAUGGUACGGUGGAUCGCAGCAGCAGUAUGGCGGGCACUCGCAUGCGGGCAUGCAGUGGCAAGGGACGCCGGAGAUGCAGCAUUACAAUCAGCCACAACAGAUGCACUCGUUGCAGCAGCAGCAGCAACAACAACAGCAGCAGCAUCAAUACCAGCAACCGCAGCAGCAGACUUAUCAAUCGCAGGGUGUUUUUUACGGGCAGCCCACCGGGUACUAUGGGGCUCAACAUCAGCAAGUGUCGCAGGCGCUAGCUCCGCAGGCCCCCGUGCCUCCGCCGCCUUCGCAGCAGCGUGGCAUGGUGUAUGGGCGAACUGAACAGGGAUGGCCAUCAAGCAAUGGUUGGAAUCAGCAGCAGUGGCCUUCGGCUGGAAAUCCGACCGCAGGGCUUAGUCAAGAGGAAGAAUGGGCUGCCAAGGCUAGAGCGUGGGCUGCUGCCAAAGCAGCGCAAGAAGCUCAACAGCAAAACCAGCAGGCACCGACGCAGCCAGAUCAAUCUUUUCCUGAUAGUUUACAGCAGCCACCACCGCCACCACCACUUCCUCCUCCACCUCCACCUCCACCCCAGCCAGUGGACUUGCCUCAGCAGUUUGCUUACUCAGCAGGGGUACAAGAACCUGGAACACCAGCUUAUGGCCAUGAUGCGCAUUCUAUUUAUGGCCAUAAUUCUCACAACGCUCCUGGAACGUAUGGAAGGGAAACUUCUUCCCGGAGCCAUGAGGAGGAUAGGAAAUCAUUUGCAGCAGAGGGAUCAACGUCAGGUUCCGGUCUGGCAACAACGCCUGCUCCUUCUCCUCCAUCUGCAGUACCAAGAAGCAUUUCAGAGCUUGGACCCUGCAGCUAUUCGCAAGAAUUGUCUUCAAGUCACGUUCAGAAUGUUAAUUCAUCAGAUUUACAUGUAACUGUACCACCAGGGAUGGAACAGCAGGAGAUGCCGCAACUAUCUACCCCUCCUCCCCCCCCUCCUCUCUCAGCCCCAACUCCCCUUCCGCAUCUAUCACACCAGCAUCCACCACAAGUACCUUCUCAGUUAUCACAAAACCAACAAACAUCUCAUUUGCCGCACAUUCCCCCCUCUCAAUUUGCAUUUGGAGAGCCUCCUGUGCCAGCUCCGUAUGAUUUUCAUCAGCAACCGCCUUAUGAGUUUCAGCAGCCUCAAUCUCAGGAAUAUCAACACCCGCAGCCCUCGCAGUUCAAUAUGGUUGCAGAUGUUCCAGAAGCAGGUGCCUACGGUGGGUUGCCACAUUCACAGACUUGGCCUCAAAUGCCUUAUCCUGCAAACAAUAUGGGGUCUGGAAUAGGGGCAGGUCCUGGUUUGGGACACCAGUUUGAAUACGAAUUUGAGCAUAUGCAUCCGGGGCAUCAACAUCCCCAGCAUUUGCAGGGUCAUGCAAUGUUUCCUCGGCCUCCUCAGGGGCCAGGAUUUCGACCAGGUGGUCCUCCUCUGGGACAUUUUGGCUUGGGACCUGGAGCUAGUACGGGGAUGGAUUUUUCUAUGUUUCCAGAUAAUGGUCAUGGUCAUAUUGCAGGUCAUGAACGACCCAAGAAGGCGUCAGUGCCCAACUGGCUUAAGGAAGAGUUGUUGAAGAAGAAAGCUGCUGUUACUGGUGGUUCUCAGUUGACUGCUGCUGAUGAUAAUCCUCAUGCUAAUGGUGAUAAUAUUGAAGUGUCUACUCACAGUAAGUUCGAGUUGAUGGACAGGUCAAGAAGUGACUUGUCUAGAAUGAGCGGUUCUGACGACGAGGAGGACGAGGAUGACACAGAAAUUGUGAGGACUGCAGCGAUGAAUCAAGAAAUCAAACGGGUUCUGACAGAAGUAUUAUUAAAGGUGACAGAUGACUUGUUCGAUGAAAUCGCACAAGAGGUUAUGGAUGAGGACGAACUACGAUUACUUGAAGAUCCAGGCAAGAAAGCGUCACCUACUGACGAAGCCGGCGGAGCAAAAGCAAAAUCUUCUACUCAUGCUCCUGUUAUUGUACCUUCUACUGCUCGUUCGUCUGCUGCUGUAAGGGUAGUUGUCGCUCCUGCUCUCAAGAAGAGUCAGAAUGAUAGUGAUGACGACAGUGGGAGCCUAAGUUCCGGAGCUCCUGAUGGAAACCUUUUGGGACUCGCAAGCUAUGCAUCCGAUGACGAGGAUGGUGGUCGCAACGGUCGGCAGGUGACUGAGGGCGACCAUGCUCAUGGAGGAAAUUCUGACGUUGAGGCCUCUGAUUUGAAAAAUUUGGCCGCAGUGAAGGAAGGGAAGUCAAAACAUGUGGAUUCAGAGGAUGAAGCUGUUGCAAAGGAUGUUAAGCGGAAGAAGCGUUUGAGUGAGGAAGUUAUAAAUUCAGACAAUCCCGGUCGUAGCCCGAGAAGAGCUCGACACACGGAGAUGUCAGGUGAUGAAGCUGGUCAGAAUGAGCUUUCCGUUUCACAGAAAUCAAUUGUUACAACGAAUAAACUUAAAAAUGGAUCGGCAGUCUCACAACCUUCUGAAUCGGAGAAAGCAUUUGAAGUUAGAGGGUUAGAAACAGCUGAAGUUGAGGAAGUUGCCGGUGCCCACCACAAGAUGUCUCCUCACAACGCUCUGUUAACAGAGCGCAGAAAGUGGGAAGGCAAUCAUGACCCUUUCAAAAGGAGAAGUGGCGAGGAUUCAUCACAUCUCGGUCGUGGGGGGAAGGGUGAGACAAAUAUAGGUUCAGCAGUCAAAGACAGAGAUCAGUCUAAUGCCAAGCAAGACGCCAAGGAGGCUGAAGGCGAUGGUUAUCAUAAGAACAAUCUAAAGCGGGAGAAGAAUUCAUCCAGGAAUGCGAAGGACAGAAUUAGAGAGAAUACGGAGAAGGUUAAAGACAGAGAGAGCCAAAGAAAUAAGGAGAGAGAGCAUACUGUACAGAAGAUCAGUGAGCGUGAAAGGGAAUCAGAUCGGGAAAAGCAUAAAGAAAGAGAGAAGGAUAAAGAUAGAGGAAAGGGUACCAAAUCUAGGGGCCGGGAUUCUGAAAGGGAGAGACGCAAAUCUACUUCUAGUCAGUUUGACCGAAAGAGCACGCUUAACAAAAUGGAGAGAGAGAAAAGUUACAACAAGUCUCAGAGGAGGCGCUCUUCAUCAUCAAGUAGUCGGAGUCGGAGUCGGAGUGAAAGCAGCAGCGCUUCCGGAAGUCGAAGCAGCAGCCCUGGCCCUGCACGAAGUGAGAGCCCGAAAAGAGGAAAACAACAAGGAGGAAGGUCCAGCAAGAAAUCAAGUCAUUCCUCACCUCCAUUGAGAUCUCGAAGAAAUCCCAGCACAUCCCAGCACACCCCAGCACAGAAGUACCUGCACGAGUCAUAAUGCUCAGUGCCAGAAUGGACGCGCACAUUCUGGGAGAUGUUCACCGCAUCUUAAGACGAACUUCGCGCUCUCCUUCGCGUUCAGUGCCACAUAGCAAGGUCUCUCAUCGCAGGCAUUCCCCUUCUCUUUCCCGUGAGAAGGAUAGGUACAAUGCGUCACCCUCUUAAUUAAAGUUUUGUUGGUGCCUCCUUUUAAUGGCAUUCUAUAGCGUCUGGUUUAGUAUUUGUUAGCUAAUAGAAAUUCUAUACAUUGUAAUAUCUCCGCGGAGGCAUCUGGUGGAAACAAUCCGUCAUUCUGGAUAAGAACCUCUUAACCUCUUGAUGUGCAUAUCAUGAUCUUCCUGUGCACUGCAGUUGGUUAAGAGUUUUUUUUUUUUUUUUUUUUUUUUUUUUUUUUUUUUUUUCCUAUGCCCUGAAUUUGUCUGUUUGGGAAGUGACAUAAACCUGCCGGUUUCAGGAAGUCUUUCUAGUCAUAACUAUCUUAUUGAAAUGAGAGAUUUGAUUUGUUGAGCAUGGGGUACUUUUGUUCUUUGGGACUCAGGAACAGGAAAUCAAGGUCAACGUCACCAGCCCACAAGAGGAGACGGAGCUGAUGGUCGAUUUAUUCUUUCUGGGAUGCUUCGCUUGUAUACUGCCUCUUCAAUAUUGUCAUGUGUAAGAGAACUAGAGUUAUUCAAGUGGUUGGGAAUGCAAAACUUCCUAUGCCUUACCUUCAGGAAACUUGUGCCAACUAUCAUCUUCGGAAGAUUUUUUUUCUUUAGUAUACUCGUGGAAUUUGGCAACGGCCUAGUUUACUUGAGAAGUGUUAAAUAUUGGCCUUGUAGUAUGUGAUUUGCACAGCAUAACAGCUGGCAUGCGGAGCAAGACUUCUACGUGACAAGCUCCUGCUUAUAUCUGCCAGUAUUCGUCGUUGUAUCAUGCUAUCUAUUUUGUUCAUACAGCCACAACUUAACCCGGGUCAUACUAUUGCCUA